Long non-coding RNA from Aethina tumida (small hive beetle), 891 nucleotides. RefSeq lists it as uncharacterized. The record is from RefSeq and is a predicted model, not a curated record. NCBI's taxonomy places the organism in Eukaryota, Metazoa, Arthropoda, Insecta, Coleoptera, Nitidulidae. The transcript has 2 exons.
UUAAUUAAAAUUUAUUAUAAUUUAUAUUUAUUUAAGACUUUACUCAGAAGAUAUUUAUUAUAAUGUGUAAAAAUAUUUCAAUGGUGUUGUUGAGACAAUUAUAAAAAUUGAAAAAAUUAAGAUUUAUCUAGAGUGCUAAAUUUUUAAUAGCAGGCAGUUGUUAAUAAUUGAAGCUGCGGUUGUCAAGGAAAUUAUUAAAUACGUUUCAACAAACAUUUAAGGCUUGGAUACGACCUGUUUGUAUUCAAAGCUUUGCUUACAUAAAGUCAAGAAAUUAGAAGACUUUUCUGGUGUGCACAAAAUACUCUACUAAGAACAUUUGAACUGAAUAAGCAGGUAUCAUUAUUAUGUAAAUGAAAAAAUCAAAAAUUGAGCUGAUAACCUAAAGUGUUGUGAAUACACAAAGGCGACACACCAAACAACAGGAAUGUGGUUCUCAAAUAAUUAUAGUCAAAAGACUAUAGAAGCAUGAGCAACAGAAUCAAGUUAAAAUGUCUAAAAAAUUCUAUAAAUUUGAAGUAUUUCAUUUGUUAUAAAAUAAUUUUUCAUAUAUGGAUCAAAGUGUUUUAAUAUUCAGAGUGUACAUAAAUCAAGUGAUUUGUACAUGUUCAAAAACAGCAAAUAUUUUUUAAGUUUAUGUGAUUACUAAUACCUUAAAUGGAAAAAUAUGAAGUUUAACCUGUUUUUAAGAAAAAUGAAUAAUUUCAAGUUAGUUAUAAUUAACUGAGACAGUAACUUUUAAACCUUUUACAUUGUUUUCCUUUUUUCCAUUUUCUGGUCUUAGAAAUUAAACAUUUAUCUUUAUUUGUCUUAAAAAUUCAAUGUUAAUAAAAGUAUCAUAAAAUUAAUGUCAUCAUAAUGUUAAUGUUAAUAAAAAGUAAGUAAAAUAAA